GACGAACGCUGGCGGCGUGCCUAAUACAUGCAAGUCGAACGCUUCUUUCCUCCCGAGUGCUUGCACUCCAUUGGAAAGAGGAGUGGCGGACGGGUGAGUAACACGUGGGUAACCUACCCAUCAGAGGGGGAUGACACUUGGAAACAGGUGCUAAUACCGCAUAACAGUUUAUGCCGCAUGGCAUAAGAGUGAAAGGCGCUUUCGGGUGUCGCUGAUGGAUGGACCCGCGGUGCAUUAGCUAGUUGGUGAGGUAACGGCUCACCAAGGCCACGAUGCAUAGCCGACCUGAGAGGGUGAUCGGCCACACUGGGACUGAGACACGGCCCAGACUCCUACGGGAGGCAGCAGUAGGGAAUCUUCGGCAAUGGACGAAAGUCUGACCGAGCAACGCCGCGUGAGUGAAGAAGGUUUUCGGAUCGUAAAACUCUGUUGUUAGAGAAGAACAAGGACGUUAGUAACUGAACGUCCCCUGACGGUAUCUAACCAGAAAGCCACGGCUAACUACGUG
This 508-nucleotide ribosomal RNA is filed under the name uncultured bacterium. RNAcentral describes it as "partial 16S ribosomal RNA". It matches the Rfam family "Bacterial small subunit ribosomal RNA", at positions 28 to 507 of the family's 1533-position model. The record is from RNAcentral.